CAAGCACGGGGCUGGACGAAAAGCGUCUAUGGUAUGCUUGUUCUUCGUUUGCGCUGCCUUGUGUGCGGGCUCUGUGCAGACGAGUUGAAUCCUGUUUUAUAAGUGAAUGUGUGCUCAGGUGUCGCCACACAAUCAGGCGGUUAGUGCGUUGCAUCGUAUAUGUGCAUAAUUAGGCUUGUGUGUGAGCUCCGCGAGGUCACGUAUAGGGUAAAGGCUGAUGCGCUGACAGCUGUGCUCUGUUGUGGCAGGUGUGUCGGGGCUGUAUAUGCAUGAGAACAACACGCCCCUGCCUGCAGUAGGACAUGAGCCUGCAGUACGUGUGCUCAGUGUGCAGGAAACUGUGCAGCUGUUGUUUGUAUGCUUUUGCCAGUGACUAGAGAUAUUAGAGUCAAGAGACGUCAGCUUAAGGGAUGCCGAAGUGACCUCUGUGAUGACGAGUCAAAGAAAUCUACAACCUCCACAGUUUGUCUGGACCAGAGAGAGUCUUUGCUGAGCUUCACAGAUACUCCCACUGUAAUCCAGAAACACCAGUAUAACCGUCCCAGAAAAGGAAAUAACACAGCAGUUCAGUCAUCCCCAGAAUGGCUGACCUUCCUCCCCCUGGCUUAAGACUUCCUUGUAUUCCCAGCAUUUUAUUAUAUGUUUUGGGCUAUUCCUCAUCAUCGAUUGGUUGCAAUACAGAGAAAAGAUGGGGGGAUGGAUGACCUUUUGAACACUGGGUGACUGUUGUCAUGAAAGGCGACUCCCACUCUCCCAAAGUCGAUGCACUCUGGCGAUGGUAUCUUGCAAGACCUCCAUGCAUUUAGCCAGAAUCCUUUUCCUCAUCCUUCCUUUCAGGCUUUAUGACCACAGCUGCAAAGAAGACCAUCCAACAGCAGUGCCUGUGUCCCACAAACAUGAUUCGACAUAUUUGCUGAGUUUUUAUUUUCAGACAUCCUUCACAUGUGAUUUGACACAUGAAGCAGACUGUUAUGUGUCUUUUACUCAGAACUGCUCGCGUCUGGUGGCGGUCAAACUUCCUGCAGGUUCUCCGAUCUCUACAGAAAACAUCUGAAGUCUUCUUGCAAUAAGUGCUGAAUUCUUGGUCACAUACCAGACCAAUUAAAUAUUUACUCAGACAUCCUACUUAGUCUGGCUGACUCUAAGAAGAGCCCUGGUCGUCCCAUUACUUGGGUGUUUCUCCUAAUAACCUCUCAAACCUUUAUAAAUGGAUUUAGAACCAGCGCCUCAAUGCAGUUUCCAGUCAUAAUGGCUGCUAUUGUCUUGCUGUGCAGUGUGAAAUGUGGAAGGUUUAUAUACACAGGUGUGUGCCUUUCUAAGCUAUGGCUAAUCAGUUUGCCAGUUUGCCGCAGGUGGACUCCAGCAGAGCUCAAGGACAGAUAAAGUAAACAGGAUGCACCUGACCACAAUUUGGAUUCCCACACAAAGGGUGCAAUGACGUUCGUAAAGGAGAAAAUGUUCUAAAAUGAUUUUACUUUAUGUUCACAGUGAACACAAUGGAGUGUGCGACAGCUGAACAGAUCUAGUGAAAUUUUUCAGCUGGGUACGGUUUGACUUCCUCUGUUACUCAGACCUUUGAUUAGUAUUAUUGACAUAGUCAGAAAUGCAUUUGCACAGCUUCCAGCUUGUGUAACCGCCCUGCCUGUUCCAGUUCAGCGGUGGAUAUUAGAGGUGGCUGACAUGGAUGCAUUAUGUACUAACUUACAGUACGGCAGAAAUGCAUUUGUCACACAAAGCUUUAACAGUCCUUCCAUUAACACUGACAGGAAUAUGAAUAUGCCCAGUUUAAUGCACACAGAGCAGCAAUUCAUCAACCAAGCAGAAUUCUAACCUUCAUCUGAUAAGACCUUUGAAAUCUGUGCCAAAACUCUAAUCCAGGAUAGCAGUGCAUAGACACACACACACACACACACACACACAAGUGCACGAACAUCAAAGACAAAAAUCUGUAGCCAAUGUUUAUUGAUCUGCAGGUCUAUUUUUGCUCGGGGAAAUCAUUCUAACAUAAACCAGCCCUCUGUCAAAUUUGAGCUGAAGGGGAACAGGCAACAUUCAUACAAUGCAUGUUAGAGUGAAACAGGGAAAAUAUAGCAAAAAUAAGCAAAGGAGGAUGUAUAAAUGCAGGUAAGCAGAAUCAGUGGAUGUGCAUAUAUGUGUGUAUAUUUGUUUUUGGCUAUGUAUAUAUGAAGACGUGUUAGAUCAGUGCUUUUGAACAUGUCAGAGAUCUUUCACGGAGACAAGCUGGAUUAAUUAGAGACAGUACAAAGUGAUGUCAGUCGUUGCCAUAGGAACUUUGUGCUACACUGGUGACACACUCAAGUGUCAGAGGUGGAAACUAUUAAAGUUUCUUUACUCGUAUACUCUUGGAGUGAACCAUUGUGGGGGUUUUUAAAGGUUGGAUUGGAAAUGAUCAAAAUAAGUAGUGUACUGAAAUUUUACUGAUAGAAAACUUGAACAUCAUUGUUGCAAAUGGCGGCAUUAAAUGUGAGCUUUGUGGAUUUCACUUUCAAUUUGAGUUUCAGCCAAGUAUUUACCAAACAAGCAUCAGUUUCACUUUACCGUACAUGCUGGUUUCUCAGGAAGACAUGCAGUUACCUACUACUUCGUUAGCUACACCUCGCUAGUGACGUUUUGCUUCCCUUUUAAUAGACAACACAUACGAAAGGUGCUUAUAGGAUGGAGAUCUGGUUACAGUGGAGGCAAUUUUAGAACAGUGAACUCACUGUCAUGUUCAAGAAGCCACUUGAGAUGAUUUAAGCUGUGUGACAUGGUGUAUUACCUAACUGGAAGCAGCCAUCAAAAGAUCGAUACAGUGUGCUCAUAAAAGGGUGGAUGCACUGGCAGCAGUAACAGUCAGAUAGGCUGUGGUGUUUAAAUUAAGCUCAAAGAAAACAUCCAUCCCACCAUUACAACAUGAAUCUUAACCACUGAUAGGACACAGGAUGGAUCCGUGCUUUCAUGUUGUUUAUACCAGAUUCUGAACCUAUCGUGUGAAUAUUGCAGCUGAAAUCCUGACUAACAGAAGUAGCACCCGGUGUGGUCUUCUGCUGCUUUAGCCCAUUUGCUUCAAGACAUUGUGCGUUCACUAAUGCUCAUCUGCACAGCGUGAUUGUAACAAGUGGUUAUUUGAGUUACAGUUGCCUUCCUAUCAACUCGAACCAGUCUGGCCAUUCUCCUCUGACCUCUGACAUCAACAAGAUAUUUUCGCCCAGAGAACAGCCGCUCACUGGAUGUUUUCUCAUUUUCAGGCCAUUCUCUGUAAACUCUGGAGAUGGUUGUGUGGGAAAAUCCCAGUAGAUAAGACCAGAAAUACUUAGAACAGCCUGAGUAUAGGUAUAGGCAUUUGUGUUAAUACCUGUGAGCAGGUAUUCCUAAUUUUAGCUUUGGAAAACGAUAACUUACUUCUGGUCAAUGUGAUGUUUUUUCCUUCCAUUUCACCAGCACAUUCAAAAUGUUUUGUGUUCGUUGUUACAAAAAUGUGAAGAGGAAAGAUUCAUGCACUUUUAAUUAAUUAGCUAAAUGAACAGAACACAUAUUUUAUUUUACAAGUAAGCGAUGUAUUAAAUUGGAUUUUUCUUAUCAUUUUUGUUUUCAAACAUCUUCCCUUCUUAUUUCUGUUGUGUCUCUUCAGUAUUUGUAAACAGAUAUUUAUGUGCAAUGACAAUAAAG
Long non-coding RNA from Oreochromis aureus, 3669 nucleotides. NCBI's taxonomy places the organism in Eukaryota, Metazoa, Chordata, Actinopteri, Cichliformes, Cichlidae. The record is from Ensembl.